This 1261-nucleotide long non-coding RNA is filed under the name Hordeum vulgare. RNAcentral's name for it is "long non-coding RNA (HVUL_LNC009161)". The record is from RNAcentral. Lineage: Eukaryota; Viridiplantae; Streptophyta; Magnoliopsida; Poales; Poaceae.
GAGUACUCGUAGUUAGGCACAGAUGCAACAAUAGUCAAUUACGCCGCUGGUAUCACAACUUCAAAAAAGUCAGUUUAAUACUAAAACUAAUGACAUAUACGGAGUAUUAAACUGUCACAACUUGACUUAGACAUACAUAUAUGAUCAGUAUAAAUUAUGUUUCUAUACUAAUAACAUGUUGAUUAGGCAUGGCAGCUUGACACGUGGUCGUUGUUAGCAGUGGCGGCGUCAAGAAAUGAAGGCUAGGUAUUCAUCUAAUUUUUUUUUUCCUCUAAGUGUAGAAUAUGAAUCAAACAACAUACAAUUAACAAUAUAUGAACAAAACAACACUAGUAUAACGGCAAUUGUAAUAUUUUAAUGUAUUCGACCAUAACAAUAUGAAUACAUAAGUACCUUUUGAUUGAUAAAGUGAUGAUAUUCCUUUUACAAUAUAACUCUGCGGUCGUCUUUUUGGAAGAGAUUGAUAACAUCUUCAUCCUUUACUUGACUGAAAAAUUCUCUCUCAACAAAAAUGACGCUCUUUUUCACUUUUAUUUUCUAAACUUGAACUUAUGCUUCUUUGGUUGACAUGAGCCCAUCUCAACAUAUCUCCUUCUUAUUUUAUAUUGGUCAUUGACAACAUACACUGAGAUGGAAAUCCGCUUUCCAGGAUCAUGUUCGAGUGCCUCCAAAUCUGCUCGCAUCGGUUCACCAUCUUCAUCAAUAGUAUCAUCAUCUUCUAUAUUAGGUGUUAAAGUUUCUCCUCUAUUUUCCGGUUCUUGCCAUAACACCAAUUAAAAAUUGCUCUCAAAAUGAACAGGAGAAAUACAAGUACUAGAUGCAGCCAUUGUCUGAAUCGGUAUGGAUAUUUUCAUCGAUUUUCCUUGCCUUUCAAGCCUUUUCCCACAUUGCAAAUAUGGUACUGCUCUUCAGUCUCUUUUUCAUCUACGUUAGGAAAACAAGGCUGCAUCUGUUAAAUAGAUAAAAUGAACUUGCAUCUAGUAAAUUAACCAGACUACUCGCUAACUCGCACCUUCUACGUGGCAUGGGGGCGAAGAGGAGGGGAAGACUGAGGGGCGGGCGCUAUUGCGGUUAGCGCGGGGGGCGGCCGCCGUUGCGGCCAACGCAGCUGCUACUCCCUCCGACUCCAACCAGCAGGGCGGCUGCGAGGCAGGCAGCGGGGGCAGGGGGGCGCUGCGGUCAGCGCGGUUGCUACUCCCUCCGACUCCGACCAACGGGGCGGCUCCUAGGUGGGGCGGGGCGGCUGCGAGGCAGGCAGCGG